RNAcentral lists this long non-coding RNA (267 nucleotides) under Nicotiana tabacum (common tobacco). Its description in RNAcentral is "long non-coding RNA (NTAB_LNC003429)". Lineage: Eukaryota; Viridiplantae; Streptophyta; Magnoliopsida; Solanales; Solanaceae. The record is from RNAcentral.
GGCGACCUAGAACUGAAAUGUAUUCCCGCAUUAUACUGGUGGGCGACCUAGAACUUAAAUGUAUUCCCGCAUUAUACUGGUGGGCGACCUAGAACUUAAAUGUAUUCCCGCAUUAUACUGGUGGGUGACCUAGAACUUAAAUGUAUUUGAAAUUGUUUCCCCGUCCUUUCGAGAAAAUUUUGACAAUCGGUAGAAAAUUUUCUGCCCCGGUUUUUGGUGACUUCCUUGGCGUUGCCUCUUGCUGCCAUCAUCAAUCCUUUGUUUUCC